GUGGGGUAGUGUCCCGCAAGUCUUA
RNAcentral lists this transfer RNA (25 nucleotides) under Channa punctata (spotted snakehead). RNAcentral's name for it is "partial tRNA". The record is from RNAcentral. Lineage: Eukaryota; Metazoa; Chordata; Actinopteri; Anabantiformes; Channidae.